Molecule: transfer RNA, 72 nt
Filed under: Odocoileus virginianus texanus
Lineage: Eukaryota; Metazoa; Chordata; Mammalia; Artiodactyla; Cervidae
Also listed under: 6 other names
Rfam family: tRNA
About the family: Transfer RNA (tRNA) molecules are approximately 80 nucleotides in length. Their secondary structure includes four short double-helical elements and three loops (D, anti-codon, and T loops). Further hydrogen bonds mediate the characteristic L-shaped molecular structure. tRNAs have two regions of fundamental functional importance: the anti-codon, which is responsible for specific mRNA codon recognition, and the 3' end, to which the tRNAs corresponding amino acid is attached (by aminoacyl-tRNA synthetases). tRNAs cope with the degeneracy of the genetic code in two manners: having more than one tRNA (with a specific anti-codon) for a particular amino acid; and 'wobble' base-pairing, i.e. permitting non-standard base-pairing at the 3rd anti-codon position.
Source: Rfam by way of RNAcentral
UCCCUAGUGGCUCAGAUGGUAAAGAAUCUGCCUGCAAUGCAGGAGGCCCAGGUUCAAUCCCUGGGUUGGGAA